Molecule: long non-coding RNA, 531 nt
Organism: Passer domesticus (house sparrow)
Lineage: Eukaryota; Metazoa; Chordata; Aves; Passeriformes; Passeridae
Exons: 3
Source: RefSeq, a predicted model, not a curated record
GAGAGGUAGAGUUGUUGGAGCUGGCAGGUCCUGUUGUGAGGGGGAAGGAGUUGGUGGUGGUGCCUGUGAGAUUGCAACAGAUAAAAGGUAUGAAGGCUUUGAUAAACUCCUGAUGCCUGCUGCCAUCUUCAGCAUCUGCUUUUUGAGUCCCCUCUCAACCAGGGAGAGGUAUGAGAGUUUUUAGGUGUUAAGAUCUGGAGUUGGAUUAACUUGUCUGGUGGACACUGAAGUCUGAGAUGGGUUUUUUUCUGAGAAGUCUGAACUUCUGGUAACGCUUUGCAGACAUGUACAGCUCCUUUUUCACUUGGAAUAGAAAGAAAAUUACUGAGAGGAUUUAUUUACAGCAGGUAGAUAUCAAAGCUGGCUGCUGAAGUGCAAGCAAGGCUGGCAGGGCAAGGUGGCUCAACAUCCAUUAAAUAAGUCAUCAGCCUUCCCUUGAUCAUCUGUUAGUCACUCCAGUUUCUCUACAGUUAUUACAUGCAGUAGGCAGUAAAAACUCGAAAACUACACUGAAAAAUAAAUUGAAAUUGU